AUUGAACGCUGGCGGCAUGCCUAACACAUGCAAGUCGAACGGAAACGAUGGGAGCUUGCUCCCAGGCGUCGAGUGGCGGACGGGUGAGUAAUACUUAGGAAUCUACCCAGUAGCGGGGGACAACUCGAGGAAACUCGAGCUAAUACCGCAUACGCCCUACGGGGGAAAGCAGGGGAUCUUCGGACCUUGCACUAUUGGAUGAGCCUAAGUCGGAUUAGCUUGUUGGUGAGGUAAAGGCUCACCAAGGCGACGAUCCGUAGCUGGUCUGAGAGGACGAUCAGCCACACUGGGACUGAGACACGGCCCAGACUCCUACGGGAGGCAGCAGUGGGGAAUAUUGGACAAUGGGGGCAACCCUGAUCCAGCAAUGCCGCGUGUGUGAAGAAGGCCUGCGGGUUGUAAAGCACUUUCAGUAGAGAAGAAAAGCCUAGGGUUAAUAACCCUGAGUCUUGACGUUACCUACAGAAGAAGCUCCGGCUAACUCCG
RNAcentral lists this ribosomal RNA (486 nucleotides) under uncultured Piscirickettsiaceae bacterium. Its description in RNAcentral is "bacterial SSU rRNA". It matches the Rfam family "Bacterial small subunit ribosomal RNA", at positions 30 to 505 of the family's 1533-position model. The record is from RNAcentral. Lineage: Bacteria; Pseudomonadati; Pseudomonadota; Gammaproteobacteria; Thiotrichales; Piscirickettsiaceae.